GCGAAUGUAAUUCAGUGGUAGAAUGUCUGCUUGCCAAGUAGAUUGUCGUCGGUUCAAAUCCGAUCAUUCGCU
Molecule: transfer RNA, 72 nt
Filed under: Synechococcus phage S-CRM01
Lineage: Duplodnaviria; Heunggongvirae; Uroviricota; Caudoviricetes; Pantevenvirales; Kyanoviridae
Rfam family: tRNA
About the family: Transfer RNA (tRNA) molecules are approximately 80 nucleotides in length. Their secondary structure includes four short double-helical elements and three loops (D, anti-codon, and T loops).
Source: Rfam by way of RNAcentral